Molecule: ribosomal RNA, 521 nt
Filed under: uncultured Ascomycota
Lineage: Eukaryota; Fungi; Ascomycota
Description: LSU rRNA
Rfam family: Eukaryotic large subunit ribosomal RNA
Source: RNAcentral
GUGAAAUUGUUGAAAGGGAAGCGCUUGCAAUCAGACUUGCAUGCAGUUGAUCAUCCGAUGUUCUCACCGGUGCACUCAUCUGCAUUCAGGCCAGCAUCGGUUUUGGUGGUUGGAUAAAGGCCCUGGGAAUGUAGCUUCUUUUGGGGAGUGUUAUAGCCCAGGGUGCAAUGUGGCCUACCAGGACCGAGGACCGCGCUUCGGCUAGGAUGCUGGCGUAAUGGUUGUAAGCGACCCGUCUUGAAACACGGACCAAGGAGUCUAACAUCUAUGCGAGUGUUUGGGUGUAAAACCCAUACGCGUAAUGAAAGUGAACGGAGGUGAGAACCCUUAAGGGUGCAUCAUCGACCGAUCCUGAUGUCUUCGGAUGGAUUUGAGUAAGAGCAUAGCUGUUGGGACCCGAAAGAUGGUGAACUAUGCGUGGAUAGGGUGAAGCCAGAGGAAACCCUGGUGGAGGCUCGCAGCGGUUCUGACGUGCAAAUCGGUCGUCAAAUCUGCGUAUAAGGGCGAAAGACUAAUCGAAC